RNAcentral lists this long non-coding RNA (445 nucleotides) under Calidris pugnax (ruff). RNAcentral's name for it is "lncRNA (ENSCPUG00000017295.1)". The record is from RNAcentral. Lineage: Eukaryota; Metazoa; Chordata; Aves; Charadriiformes; Scolopacidae.
UGAUUAUUUGGACGGACUGUGCUACUCACUUGAUCCUUAUGGUGCCUUUUAGGAAUCGCAAUUGAAGCUUCAGCUUAAGGACACUGUCAGUUCUUCGCCUCGGGAAGAGCUUGAAGCUGAAGAUGCCAACAGCAACGGGAAACCCAUAACAGAGGAAGAAACACUAGAAGUAAAGGAGGAAACUGCUCUUAUGCAGCAGCCAGGUGCUGGUAUGGAUUAUCUGACCGAGGACAAUGAAGCUGCUGCAGACAUGAUCAGAUAUGUAGGACAUGACUCCAACGUCCACCUGAAGUCUUUGAAGUCAGACAUCGUUUCGGUUACAGGGGUCCUCGUUUUCUCCACUUGCCUUUGGGAUGGUGCUCUUUGGUAAAGUUGCUCUUCAGAAGUUAUAUGGGCCUGCCUUUUGCAGUCACUCCCUGCUCAACCAGUCAUCCAGAGUGGAGCC